Hemicordylus capensis (graceful crag lizard) is the source of this 1883-nucleotide long non-coding RNA. RefSeq lists it as uncharacterized. The record is from RefSeq and is a predicted model, not a curated record. The transcript is spliced from 2 exons. Lineage: Eukaryota; Metazoa; Chordata; Lepidosauria; Squamata; Cordylidae.
GUCACGAGUGCGCUGGAGGAGGAGGAGGGCUGUUCUGAUCCAGUUGCGACAGGCGUGGGAGAGGCUUGCCGAGGCUCGGGGUACGCGCUCUCUCUCUAUCACGGUCUCACGAGUGAGGUAUAUGGGAGGCUGACUGUACUUUGCUGUAGUCACGGAGAGCCUCCGGCAAUCCCGCGUCAUCUCUGGCAAUUUACGGAAUCUCUUCGUGUAAACGCAGGAUUGCACUCUUUCUUCUCUCCGGGUGAAUUGAUCGGACAUAAUUGCCACCCUCUUAGUUAUGACGGCAAUGUGGAGAAGGAUCUUAGAGAUAAUCUACAGGAAGCAAUUAGUUGUCUCCUUUCUUGAUUGAUUGAUUGAGUGCCAUCAAGUUGGCGUUGACUCCUAGCGACCACAUAGAAAGAGUGAAGUCCAAGACAGCCAGAAUACAAGAGAUUUUUUCCGCAAAGAACCCAUUAAAAGCAGCAGAACAAAGUCCCUGUAGAUUGGUUUGAAUUGGAAGGAGCCUGAAUCAAACUCCUCUCAACCUGGGACAGCUCUGCUGGACACAAACCUGCAGAAGCAAUGUGCACAGUCUAUUUAGGGCCUAGGCCCUAAAGCCAUAUGAGGUGGUUCCAAUAUCCACAUACAUUGGUUCCAAUAUGCAUUUUAGGAAAGAUAGAAGAUGCUGCUUAUAUUUUGCACACCUUCUCAAAAAUCAGUAUUGGAUACAAACCGAUCCUUAUAAUGAAGAUGAUUAUCCUGUGAAACAUUAUGAAGCAAUGGAAACGGAGUGCCCAUUCUAUGUGAAUUAGAUCGUUAGUCCAUCUAUUUUGGUGUGUUUUUAUUUAUUUUAAAUAAUUUAUAUCCUGCUUUUUCAGUCAGCUUGUGACAGCUCACAAGUAUUUAAAAACCAAGACAAUAAAGAACAAUUAACAAGGCAAAUGCACAUUAACAGGACUAAUACAAAAAAGCAGCAAUAAAAAUCAAUUGCAAUAAGAAAAACAGAAGACAAUGAAUUAAAGGUUUGUUUGAAAAGCCAGACUCUGAAAGGUAGGAAGGCUGGAUAGCAGGCAAAUCUCUCAAGGCAGAGAGUUUCAAAUUUUAAGGACCACCGAAGAGGAGCCCACCUUGUACAUCCCCCACCAAUCAGGCUCUAAAAGUGACAGGAAGCACAAAAAGUCCUCUCUGGACAAUCUUAUGAGGACAGGCAGUCCUUUAUUGGACCCAAGCAAUUAAGGACUUUCGAAAUAAGAACCAGCACUUUGUAUUGUGCUUGGAAGUGGACUGGGAGCCAGUAAAGUUGGAACAAGGGAGUCUCACGCUUCCAACACUGGAGCAGCAGCAUAAUGCCCAAACUGCAUUCUCUGAACUAUCUUCAAAGGCAGCCCUACAUAGAGCAUGCUGCCAUCUUCCAAUCAAGAUGUGACAAUGGCAUAGAUAACCAAUAUUAUCUGCGCACUGACAGGCAACAAUUCUCCAGGGUUUUUGCCAACUCUAUCUGGAAAUACCAGGGAAUGGGAUUGAAUUUAGGUCAUUGCAUGUAAAACAGUUGCUUUGUCACUGAGCACUUCUCCUCCUCCCUGAUCGGAGAAGCCAUAAUACAGCUUGUACUAAGAAAUGAUAAGAACAAAUGCUCAUUUAUAUUACACUUUCCAUACAGCGGAACCUUGUUAGUAUGUUACACGUCAACAUAGUUUUUAAAUUCCUGCAUUUCUUUUCAAUAAUAGUGUGAUCUGUUAAUGAUUUAAACCCUUUUAGUUGCACUUAACUUGAUCUAAAGCCAUUGACUAAAUUGAAACUAAUAUCCUGGUCACAAACCAACUUAUUUUAAACUAAACUCUAUUGAAAUCAACAUUUAUUUCCAAUUAAAUGACCUGGAAUAUUAAAGUGUGGUGUUCACAUCA